AUUACCGCGGCUGCUGGCACAGAGUUAGCCGGGGCUUCCUCUCCAGGUACCGUCAAGUCACGCAUCUCUUAAACUCGUGACCUUCGUCCCUGACGACAGGGUUUUACGAUCCGAAGACCUUCAUCACCCACGCGGCGUUGCUGCGUCAGGCUUUCGCCCAUUGCGCAAAAUUCCCUACUGCUGCCUCCCGUAGG
This 194-nucleotide ribosomal RNA is filed under the name uncultured bacterium. RNAcentral describes it as "partial 16S ribosomal RNA". The record is from RNAcentral.